GUUUCACUGUGGUAGCCAGGAUGGUCUCGAUCUCCUAACCUCGUGAUCCACCCGCCUUGACCUCCCAAAGUGCUAGGAUUACAGGCGUGAGCCACCACACCUGACCCAAGAAGUGACUUUUGGCUUUGCUGACAUACAGAAGGAUUAUUUUAAGUUUAUACAGAACUCCAAUUUCAUGAAACCAUACUGUGCCAAGCCAGGAAAUAAACAGCAACAGUCUAGCCGAGCCACGCCAACCAAACGG
Symphalangus syndactylus (siamang) is the source of this 244-nucleotide long non-coding RNA. RefSeq lists it as uncharacterized. Lineage: Eukaryota; Metazoa; Chordata; Mammalia; Primates; Hylobatidae. The record is from RefSeq and is a predicted model, not a curated record.